Molecule: microRNA precursor, 67 nt
Filed under: Bombyx mori (domestic silkworm)
Lineage: Eukaryota; Metazoa; Arthropoda; Insecta; Lepidoptera; Bombycidae
Description: mir-2774 microRNA precursor family
Rfam family: mir-2774 microRNA precursor family
Source: Rfam by way of RNAcentral
ACAACAUUCGGACCGUCGGUCUACCGAGCAAGAUCACCCACUCGGUGGAGGAUCUUCUCUUUGACGC